AUGGUUGUCGUCAGCUCGUGUCGUGAGAUUGGUUGGGUUUAAGUCCCGCAACGAGCGCAACCCCUGUCAUUAGUUGCCAGCAAGUAAUGUUUGGGCACUCUAAUGAGACUGCCGGUGACAAACCGGAGGAAGGUGGGAUGACGUCAAAUCAUCAUGCCCCUUAUGUUCAGGGCUACACACGUGCUACAAUGGCCGAUACAAAGGGCAGCAAGAGAGCAAUCUGGAGCGAAUCCCAAAAAGUCGGUCCCAGUUCGGAUUGAGGGCUGAAACUCGCCCCCAUGAAGCUGGAGUUGCUAGUAAUCGCGAAUCAGCAUGUCGCGGUGAAUGCGUUCCCGGGUCUU
Molecule: ribosomal RNA, 341 nt
Filed under: uncultured Tindallia sp.
Lineage: Bacteria; Bacillati; Bacillota; Clostridia; Peptostreptococcales; Tindalliaceae
Description: bacterial SSU rRNA
Rfam family: Bacterial small subunit ribosomal RNA
Source: RNAcentral